This 54-nucleotide ribosomal RNA is filed under the name Peribacillus simplex. Its description in RNAcentral is "Bacillus simplex partial 23S ribosomal RNA". The record is from RNAcentral. Lineage: Bacteria; Bacillati; Bacillota; Bacilli; Caryophanales; Bacillaceae.
AAGCGUGGCGACAUGUGGAGCUGACUGAUACUAAUAGAUCGAGGACUUAACCAA